RNAcentral lists this small RNA (107 nucleotides) under Marmota monax (woodchuck). The record is from RNAcentral. Lineage: Eukaryota; Metazoa; Chordata; Mammalia; Rodentia; Sciuridae.
GCCGGGUAUGGUGGUGCACACCUGUAAUGCCAACUACUUGGUGGGGCUGAAGCAAGAGGAUCACAAGUUCAAGGCCAACCUGGCAACUUAGUGAGAUCCUGUCUCCA